RNAcentral lists this ribosomal RNA (222 nucleotides) under uncultured bacterium. Its description in RNAcentral is "partial 16S ribosomal RNA". It matches the Rfam family "Bacterial small subunit ribosomal RNA", at positions 109 to 334 of the family's 1533-position model. The record is from RNAcentral.
AGUAAUGCUUGGGAAUCUAGCUUAUGGAGGGGGAUAACUACGGGAAACUGUAGCUAAUACCGCGUAGAAUCGAGAGAUGAAAGUGUGGGACCUUCGGGCCACAUGCCAUAGGAUGAGCCCAAGUGGGAUUAGGUAGUUGGUGAGGUAAGGGCUCACCAAGCCGACGAUCUCUAGCUGGUCUGAGAGGAUGACCAGCCACACUGGGACUGAGACACGGCCCAG